This 76-nucleotide non-coding RNA is filed under the name Neobacillus bataviensis. The record is from RNAcentral. Lineage: Bacteria; Bacillati; Bacillota; Bacilli; Caryophanales; Bacillaceae.
AAGAGCGAAUGAAGGGAGACCUUCUCGUUCUGUUCUGUGAGAGACUGGGGGGGGAAAUUCCCCCGGUCUACUCGAU